AGUGAACGCUGGCGGUAGGCCUAACACAUGCAAGUCGAACGGCAGCACAGUAAGAGCUUGCUCUUACGGGUGGCGAGUGGCGGACGGGUGAGGAAUACAUCGGAAUCUACUUUUUCGUGGGGGAUAACGUAGGGAAACUUACGCUAAUACCGCAUACGACCUACGGGUGAAAGCAGGGGCUCUUCGGACCUUGCGCGAUUGAAUGAGCCGAUGUCGGAUUAGCUAGUUGGCGGGGUAAAGGCCCACCAAGGCGACGAUCCGUAGCUGGUCUGAGAGGAUGAUCAGACAAACUGGAACUGAGACACGGUCCAGACUCCUACGGGAGGCAGCAGUGGGGAAUAUUGGACAAUGGGCGCAAGCCUGAUCCAGCCAUACCGCGUGGGUGAAGAAGGACUUCGGGUUGUAAAGCCCUUUUGUUGGGAAAGAAAAGCAGCAGGUUAAUACCCCGCUGUUCUGACGGUACCCAAAGAAUAAGCACCGGCUAACUUCGUG
This 492-nucleotide ribosomal RNA is filed under the name uncultured bacterium. RNAcentral describes it as "partial 16S ribosomal RNA". It matches the Rfam family "Bacterial small subunit ribosomal RNA", at positions 29 to 507 of the family's 1533-position model. The record is from RNAcentral.